UACGUAGGGGGCAAGCGUUGUCCGGAAUCAUUGGGCGUAAAGAGCGUGUAGGCGGCCCGGUAAGUCCGCUGUGAAAGUCCAGGGCUCAACCCUGGGAUGCCGGUGGAUACUGUCGGGCUCGAGUCCGGAAGAGGAGUGUGGAAUUCCUGGUGUAGCGGUGAAAUGCGCAGAUAUCAGGAGGAACACCAGUAGCGAAGGCGGCUCACUGGGCCAUUCCUGACGCUGAGACGCGAAAGCUAGGGGAGCGAACAGG
RNAcentral lists this ribosomal RNA (253 nucleotides) under uncultured bacterium. RNAcentral's name for it is "partial 16S ribosomal RNA". It matches the Rfam family "Bacterial small subunit ribosomal RNA", at positions 524 to 776 of the family's 1533-position model. The record is from RNAcentral.